Molecule: transfer RNA, 84 nt
Filed under: Clostridium sp.
Lineage: Bacteria; Bacillati; Bacillota; Clostridia; Eubacteriales; Clostridiaceae
Also listed under: 11 other names
Description: tRNA-Leu
Rfam family: tRNA
About the family: Transfer RNA (tRNA) molecules are approximately 80 nucleotides in length.
Source: RNAcentral
GCGGAAGUGCUGGAAUUGGCAGACAGGCUAGAUUCAGGUUCUAGUUCGGAUUUCCGAGUGAGGGUUCAAGUCCCUUCUUCCGCA